AUACUUACCUGGUAGAGGAGAAUACCAUGAUCCCAAUGGUAUUUUUCCUAAGGUGAGGCUUGUCCAUUGCUCUCUGGAUGUGUGUCACCUUAAUAGAUUGUAUUCAACACUAAGAGAUC
This 119-nucleotide small nuclear RNA is filed under the name Ictidomys tridecemlineatus (thirteen-lined ground squirrel). RNAcentral describes it as "U1 spliceosomal RNA (ENSSTOG00000026405.1)". It matches the Rfam family "U1 spliceosomal RNA", at positions 1 to 116 of the family's 166-position model. Rfam says of the family: U1 is a small nuclear RNA (snRNA) component of the spliceosome (involved in pre-mRNA splicing). Its 5' end forms complementary base pairs with the 5' splice junction, thus defining the 5' donor site of an intron. The record is from RNAcentral. Lineage: Eukaryota; Metazoa; Chordata; Mammalia; Rodentia; Sciuridae.